UAUAAAUGAACUGGUCACUGACCAGUAACAGGUCAGAGCGAAGCCACACUCAGUGUUUGAGCUGAUUUCACUGACUAAAGUAAACAAUGAAGACUUUUUUCCCGCUAAUUUUGUUUGCCGUUUUAAUGCUGUUCGCGACAGCUGGCUACACUGACGCACAGGAUCUAGAAUCGGAAGUUAUAGUUAACGGUGAUGUACCUCCUCGUCUGAAGCGGCGACCACAAGGAGACUGCCCCGUCUAUGAGCCUGGGCCUUGCCACCCGAUUGAUAAGGCCCCAUAAUUCAAGUUUUUUUGGAAGGAACGUUUUUUUAAUUCGGGAACAUCUGGCUUUCAAUAAAGUUUUGCAACAGUUCAGAGCUAUCAAAACCUGUGUGAGAUAAAAGAAAAUAAAAUUCCGAAAGUCUUGCGUCACGAUUUUUUUCUCUCCAGA
Molecule: long non-coding RNA, 431 nt
Organism: Uranotaenia lowii
Lineage: Eukaryota; Metazoa; Arthropoda; Insecta; Diptera; Culicidae
Exons: 2
Source: RefSeq, a predicted model, not a curated record